RNAcentral lists this transfer RNA (72 nucleotides) under Botrylloides nigrum. Its description in RNAcentral is "transfer RNA-Trp". The record is from RNAcentral. Lineage: Eukaryota; Metazoa; Chordata; Ascidiacea; Stolidobranchia; Styelidae.
AGGAACUUAGGUUAAGUAAAUUUAGUAAACUAAUUGUCUUCAAAAUAAUAGAUGCAUUUAUUGCAGUUCCAG